Molecule: small nucleolar RNA, 136 nt
Filed under: Myotis davidii
Lineage: Eukaryota; Metazoa; Chordata; Mammalia; Chiroptera; Vespertilionidae
Description: Small nucleolar RNA SNORA8
Rfam family: Small nucleolar RNA SNORA8
About the family: ACA8 is a member of the H/ACA class of snoRNA that guide the sites of modification of uridines to pseudouridines.
Source: Rfam by way of RNAcentral
UGCACUGCAUGGUGUCUAUUAAAAAAGAAUUUGGAGGGACAGUGUUCAAAGGACAGUAUGAUAUAAAUUCAGUAUCUGGCAUUGUUAGUUGUCUUGGCUUCAUGCAUGUUAAACCUGGAUUUUCAUUGAUACAGUA